GCGGUGUAGCUUAGUUGGCUAUAGCGCUCGGUUCAUACCCGAGAGGUCGGGGGUUCAAGUCCCUCCGCCG
This 70-nucleotide transfer RNA is filed under the name pig gut metagenome. It matches the Rfam family "tRNA". Rfam says of the family: Transfer RNA (tRNA) molecules are approximately 80 nucleotides in length. Their secondary structure includes four short double-helical elements and three loops (D, anti-codon, and T loops). The record is from RNAcentral.